Molecule: unclassified non-coding RNA, 376 nt
Filed under: uncultured Chitinophagaceae bacterium
Lineage: Bacteria; Pseudomonadati; Bacteroidota; Chitinophagia; Chitinophagales; Chitinophagaceae
Description: contains 16S-23S intergenic spacer region
Source: RNAcentral
UCACGUCUUACGACGGCAGUUUCACUAGAGUUCCCAGCGUUACCUGAUGGCAACUAGUGAUGGGGGUUGCGCUCGUUGCGGGACUUAACCCAACACCUCACGGCACGAGCUGACGACAGCCAUGCAGCACCUUAUCCCGCGUAUAUUGCUAUAAAACCGGCUUUCACCGGCGGUCGCGGGACAUUCUAGCCCAGGUAAGGUUCCUCGCGUAUCAUCGAAUUAAACCAUAUGCUCCACCGCUUGUGCGGACCCCCGCCAAUUCCUUUGAGUUUCAAUCUUGCGAUCGUACUUCCCAGGUGGGAUACUUAAUGCUUUCGCUCAGACACUUACAGUUUAUCGCAAAUGUCGAGUAUCCAUCGUUUAGGGCGUGGACUAC